UGGAGGGAGCCAGGGAGCUGGCAGGACGCUGAGGGUGAGGGAGGGCAAGUCCCUGGGCCCCCAGCGCCCCCAGGCCCCACGUUGCAGAUCAGCUUCCAUGACCACAGAGCCCAGCCGCCAGCAGCACACGCCACAGACAGGAGAGCCAGCAGGGUGGGUCAAUCCCAGCUGCCCCUCCAUGACCACCCCCGCCCCAGGAGCCAGGCCAGGGGGCUCCUUCCUGUCCCUCAACCCCCACACUCUGCAGACCAGGCCUUUGCCACUGCUGUCUCCAACCAGCGAGGGUGCCCCCAGCUUGCUGCCUCCUCACCCAUUGUCAUGUAUCUGCUGCACAAAAUGCUUGCUCUCACUGGCUGGGGAGUACCCUCAGUGCUGACAGGCAGUGGGUGCUCUGGAAAUGUGGACAGUGAUCAAGAACAGACCCCCAGGUGAACACUGGCAGAGGGAGUAGCCUGUGCAAAGGCCCUCAGCAGGUGUAAGGAGAUUCCCAGCUGGGGCCACACACAACUUCUCCGAUUCCACCCAGGCCCCGGCCUCCUUGCCGCCUCCUGCCUGCACCCGCCACCCUCACCAUGAGAUUGAAUUUACAACGGACUCCAACACAUUUAAAUCCAUUUAUUGCAAAAUUACUUUUCAAUAAUUACAUCACCGUGCCGACUGUGUUGCAUAAUGAAAUUAGCAUGAGGGAUAUUAGAGAGAAUAUAAAAUUAUAAGAAAUAUUGAAAUACCUCUUCCCCGUCUGUCUUCAUGAGGCCCCGUAGCUUAACUGGGGAGCGGGCGUACCUCAUGGACGGGAUUGGAAUGCACAGAGUGUAAUUUUAUAAUG
Canis lupus familiaris (dog) is the source of this 826-nucleotide long non-coding RNA. RefSeq lists it as uncharacterized. The record is from RefSeq and is a predicted model, not a curated record. NCBI's taxonomy places the organism in Eukaryota, Metazoa, Chordata, Mammalia, Carnivora, Canidae. The transcript has 3 exons.